AACGAACGCUGGCGGCAUGCCUAACACAUGCAAGUCGAACGAGACCUUCGGGUCUAGUGGCGCACGGGUGCGUAACGCGUGGGAACCUGCCCUUAGGUUCGGAAUAACUCCCCGAAAGGGGUGCUAAUACCGGAUAAUGUCUUCGGACCAAAGAUUUAUCGCCUUUGGAUGGGCCCGGGUUGGAUUAGCUAGUUGGUAGGGUAAAAGCCUACCAAGGCGACGAUCCAUAGCUGGUCUGAGAGGAUGAUCAGCCACACUGGGACUGCGACACGGCCCAGACUCCUACGGGAGGCAGCAGUGGGGAAUAUUGGACACUGAGCGAAAGCGUGAUCCAGCAAUGCCGCGUGAGUGAUGAAGGCCUUAGGGUUGUAAAGCUCUUUUACCCGGGAUGAUAAUGACAGUACCGGGAGAAUAAGCUCCGGCUAACUCCGUG
RNAcentral lists this ribosomal RNA (433 nucleotides) under uncultured bacterium. Its description in RNAcentral is "partial 16S ribosomal RNA". It matches the Rfam family "Bacterial small subunit ribosomal RNA", at positions 29 to 507 of the family's 1533-position model. The record is from RNAcentral.